AGAGUUUGAUCCUGGCUCAGAACGAACGCUGGCGGCAUGCCUAACACAUGCAAGUCGAACGCCCCGCAAGGGGAGUGGCGCACGGGUGAGUAACGCGUGGGAACCUGCCCAGGGGUGGGGGAUAACCGAGGGAAACUUCGGCUAAUACCGCAUACGUCCUAUGGGAGAAAGAUUUAUCGCCCUUGGAGGGGCCCGCGUCG
Molecule: ribosomal RNA, 200 nt
Filed under: uncultured bacterium
Lineage: Bacteria
Description: partial 16S ribosomal RNA
Rfam family: Bacterial small subunit ribosomal RNA
Source: RNAcentral